This 195-nucleotide unclassified non-coding RNA is filed under the name Glomus sp. RNAcentral describes it as "partial contains 5.8S ribosomal RNA and internal transcribed spacer 2". The stretch from base 1 to 65 matches the Rfam family "5.8S ribosomal RNA", at positions 84 to 154 of the family's 154-position model. The record is from RNAcentral. Lineage: Eukaryota; Fungi; Glomeromycota; Glomeromycetes; Glomerales; Glomeraceae.
GUGAAUCAUCAAAUCUUUGAACGCAAAUUGCACUCUCUUCGGAGAGUAUGCCUGUUUGAGGGUCAGCCUAAAAAAAAUCUACGUAGUCGCUGUUUCGCGGUGACUUUCGCCGGCAUUUGGGUCAUCUUAAACCUCUGGGCUUUUUAAGCGGCUUAAAUUUUUCUUUACGAGUAGACGAACGCUUCUAAGUCAUUA